This 253-nucleotide ribosomal RNA is filed under the name uncultured bacterium. Its description in RNAcentral is "partial 16S ribosomal RNA". It matches the Rfam family "Bacterial small subunit ribosomal RNA", at positions 524 to 776 of the family's 1533-position model. The record is from RNAcentral.
UACGUAGGGUGCGAGCGUUAAUCGGAAUUACUGGGCGUAAAGCGUGCGCAGGCGGUUUUGUAAGCCAGAUGUGAAAUCCCCGGGCUUAACCUGGGAAUGGCAUUUGGGACUGCAAGGCUUGAGUGCGGCAGAGGAGACUGGAAUUCCUGGUGUAGCAGUGAAAUGCGUAGAUAUCUGGAGGAACACCGGUGGCGAAGGCGGCAUCCUGGACCAACACUGACACUGAGGAGCGAAAGCCAGGGGAGCAAACGGG